Molecule: ribosomal RNA, 750 nt
Filed under: uncultured Actinomyces sp.
Lineage: Bacteria; Bacillati; Actinomycetota; Actinomycetes; Actinomycetales; Actinomycetaceae
Description: bacterial SSU rRNA
Rfam family: Bacterial small subunit ribosomal RNA
Source: RNAcentral
GACGAACGCUGGCGGCGUGCUUAACACAUGCAAGUCGAACGCUGAAGCCCAGCUUGCUGGGUGGAUGAGUGGCGAACGGGUGAGUAACACGUGAGUAACCUGCCCCCUUCUUUGGGAUAACGCCCGGAAACGGGUGCUAAUACUGGAUAUUCACUGAUCUUCGCAUGGGGGUUGGUGGAAAGGUUUUUUCUGGUGGGGGAUGGGCUCGCGGCCUAUCAGCUUGUUGGUGGGGUGAUGGCCUACCAAGGCUUUGACGGGUAGCCGGCCUGAGAGGGUGACCGGUCACAUUGGGACUGAGAUACGGCCCAGACUCCUACGGGAGGCAGCAGUGGGGAAUAUUGCACAAUGGGCGAAAGCCUGAUGCAGCGACGCCGCGUGAGGGAUGACGGCCUUCGGGUUGUAAACCUCUUUCGCUCAUGGUCAAGCCGCAACAGUGGUUGUGGUGAGGGUAGUGGGUAAAGAAGCGCCGGCUAACUACGUGCCAGCAGCCGCGGUAAUACGUAGGGCGCGAGCGUUGUCCGGAAUUAUUGGGCGUAAAGGGCUUGUAGGCGGUUGGUCGCGUCUGCCGUGAAAUCCUCUGGCUUAACUGGGGGCGUGCGGUGGGUACGGGCUGACUUGAGUGCGGUAGGGGAGACUGGAACUCCUGGUGUAGCGGUGGAAUGCGCAGAUAUCAGGAAGAACACCGGUGGCGAAGGCGGGUCUCUGGGCCGUUACUGACGCUGAGGAGCGAAAGCGUGGAGAGCGAACAGG